Molecule: ribosomal RNA, 251 nt
Filed under: uncultured prokaryote
Description: partial 16S rRNA
Rfam family: Bacterial small subunit ribosomal RNA
Source: RNAcentral
ACGGAGGGUGCAAGCGUUAUUCGGAAUCAUUGGGCGUAAAGGGCGUGUAGGCGGUUUAUCAAGUCAGAUGUGAAAGCCCGGGGCUCAACCUCGGAAGUGCAUUUGAAACUGGUAGACUUGAGUGCGGGAGAGGAAAGCGGAAUUCCCGGUGUAGAGGUGAAAUUCGUAGAUAUCGGGAGGAACACCAGUGGCGAAGGCGGCUACCUGGACGGACACUGACGCUGAGACGCGAAAGCGUGGGGAGCAAACAG